Bos taurus (domestic cattle) is the source of this 471-nucleotide long non-coding RNA. NCBI's taxonomy places the organism in Eukaryota, Metazoa, Chordata, Mammalia, Artiodactyla, Bovidae. The record is from Ensembl.
CCGCCCCGCCCCUGCCCCGGCUUGCGUUUGCGUUCUCAGCCGCAGGGAAAGAGGCCGAUCAGGCUCCGGGCUCCGCGGCUUCACAGCUGGACGGCCUCGCCCGAGGCACCCAGCCUCCCCGAGCCGGCCGCCAUGGACUGCUUGCUCUUGUGGGAAAGUGGAAAGCAGCUGACCAGGGACCGGGGAUGCUAGUCAACCAGUAAUUCUCAGUGUAACCUAGACCAAGCCCAACCUGCUGGCUUGUGAAAUCCAGUGUCAGUUUCCACGUCUGUAAAGUGAAGGGGCCAUUCAUCUCUGUACGGAAAAACUUGUUAACAAAAGUGGAGAACCAAAGUGGACUGGCAAGACUUAUACGCACAGUACAUCAUGCAAAAUGCUGGACUGGAUGAAGCAUAAGCUGGAACCAAGAUUGCAGGGAGAAAUAUCAGUAACCUCAGAUAUGCGGAUAAGUAACCUCAGAUAUGCGGAUAA